Ornithorhynchus anatinus (platypus) is the source of this 138-nucleotide non-coding RNA. The record is from Rfam. Lineage: Eukaryota; Metazoa; Chordata; Mammalia; Monotremata; Ornithorhynchidae.
CCCCUCUCAGGAUCGCACCUGGAGAGUUUCCAAUAUUCUACCAGUUUCGGCUAUGAGAGGGAAAGUCAAGCAGAGGUAUACCCAUUCUAUUCCUUGCUUGGACAGGGGCUAGCAAGUGGAAAGCGAUCUGCUACAAGU